This 433-nucleotide ribosomal RNA is filed under the name uncultured bacterium. RNAcentral's name for it is "partial 16S ribosomal RNA". It matches the Rfam family "Bacterial small subunit ribosomal RNA", at positions 29 to 507 of the family's 1533-position model. The record is from RNAcentral.
AACGAACGCUGGCGGCAUGCCUAACACAUGCAAGUCGAACGAGACCUUCGGCUCUAGUGGCGCACGGGUGCGUAACGCGUGGGAACCUGCCCUUAGGUUCGGAAUAACUCCCCGAAAGGGGUGCUAAUACCGGAUAAUGUCUUCGGACCAAAGAUUUAUCGCCUUUGGAUGGGCCCGCGUUGGAUUAGCUAGUUGGUAGGGUAAAAGCCUACCAAGGCGACGAUCCAUAGCUGGUCUGAGAGGAUGAUCAGCCACACUGGGACUGAGACACGGCCCAGACUCCUACGGGAGGCAGCAGUGGGGAAUAUUGGACAAUGGGCGAAAGCCUGAUCCAGCAAUGCCGCGUGAGUGAUGAAGGCCUUAGGGUUGUAAAGCUCUUUUACCCGGGAUGAUAAUGACAGUACCGGGAGAAUAAGCGCCGGCUAACUCCGUG